This 253-nucleotide ribosomal RNA is filed under the name uncultured bacterium. RNAcentral's name for it is "partial 16S ribosomal RNA". It matches the Rfam family "Bacterial small subunit ribosomal RNA", at positions 524 to 776 of the family's 1533-position model. The record is from RNAcentral.
UACAGAGGUCUCAAGCGUUGUUCGGAUUCAUUGGGCGUAAAGGGUGCGUAGGUGGCGCUGUAAGUCGGGUGUGAAAUCCUGAGGCUUAACCUCAGAAUUGCAUUCGAUACUGCAGUGCUUGAGGACUGGAGAGGAGACUGGAAUUCAUGGUGUAGCGGUGAAAUGCGUAGAUAUCAGGAGGAACACCGGUGGCGAAGGCGGCCUUCUGGACGGUGACUGACGCUGAGGCGCGAAAGCGUGGGGAGCAAACGGG